RNAcentral lists this ribosomal RNA (865 nucleotides) under uncultured Verrucomicrobiota bacterium. RNAcentral describes it as "bacterial SSU rRNA". It matches the Rfam family "Bacterial small subunit ribosomal RNA", at positions 380 to 1234 of the family's 1533-position model. Lineage: Bacteria; Pseudomonadati; Verrucomicrobiota. The record is from RNAcentral.
ACUCUGAUGGUGCACGCCGCGUGGAGGAUGACGGUCCUAGGAUUGUAAACUCCUGUCAUUGGGGAGUAAGACUUAAGCGUUAAGAGCGUUUAAGUUUGAUAGUACCCAAAGAGGAAGGGACGGCUAACUUCGUGCCAGCAGCCGCGGUAAUACGAAGGUCCCAAGCGUUGUUCGGAAUCACUGGGCGUAAAGCGUGUGUAGGCUGCGCGGAAAGUCAAAUGUGAAAGCCCGGGGCUCAACCUCGGAACUGCAUUCGAUACUCCCGUGCUAGAGUAAUGGAGAGGUAAGUGGAAUUCCUGGUGUAGCAGUGAAAUGCGUGGAUAUCAGGAGGAACAUCAAUGGCGAAGGCAACUUACUGGACAUUUACUGACGCUCAGACACGAAGGCUAGGGUAGCGAAAGGGAUUAGAUACCCCUGUAGUCCUAGCAGUAAACGGUGCUCGCUUGGUGUGGGAGGAUUCGACCCCUUCUGUGCCGGAGCUAACGCGUUAAGCGAGCCGCCUGGGAAGUACGGUCGCAAGACUAAAACUCAAAGAAAUUGACGGGGACCCGCACAAGCGGUGGAGUAUGUGGCUUAAUUCGAUGCAACGCGAAGAACCUUACCUAGGCUUGACAUGCUUGUCGUACUCUCCCGAAAAGGAGAGGUCACUUCGGGUGGACAAUGCACAGGUGCUGCAUGGCCGUCGUCAGCUCGUGUCGUGAGAUGUUUGGUUAAGUCCAGCAACGAGCGCAACCCCUGUGAACUGUUGCCAGCGCGUAAAGGCGGGGACUCUGUUCAGACUGCCCAGAUCAACUGGGAGGAAGGUGGGGACGACGUCAGGUCAGUAUGGCCCUUACGCCUAGGGCUGCACACGUACUACAAUGCC